Molecule: long non-coding RNA, 2505 nt
Organism: Calidris pugnax (ruff)
Lineage: Eukaryota; Metazoa; Chordata; Aves; Charadriiformes; Scolopacidae
Exons: 3
Source: RefSeq, a predicted model, not a curated record
UUUAGUGUCUCCAAGGUCCCCACCAGCUCACUGAGGUAACAGGGUUGGUGGCAGUCAGCCCGCUCUGUGACCAGGAGGAUGGGAGGGGUGGCUGAGGCACAGCUUCAUUUUCUUAUCUGUGCUACACCUGCACUUGCCCUGAAGGUACUGCAAGAGGCUCGUUUUUGUGUUGAUACAGCUGACAACAAAUUAACUCUUCUCCCAACAAGCUUUCAGGUCCAGGAGUCGUGGCUCAGGGCUCAGCAUUACUGGUGAAAGCAGCAUGUGUUAGCUACAGCAGCAGGACACACAGCGGCUUUCCCCAUUGCCACUUCCACCAUCGGUGAUCUAAGCCACUGCUCAGAUGCCCAGGUUCUACGAGAUGCGGUUGUAACACAUCUGAGAAAACCACAUACGCGCCCUCCAAGCUUCUCCCCCCAAAUUCCUGUGAUACAUUUAAUCUUCCAGAUGACUUCCCCAAACAUCCACCUGCUCUGCAGCUCAGGCCUCGUCUCCUCUGUCGGUCCAGGUUGGAAGAAGUAUCUGAUUUUUCCUUCAGAAGGAGAGGAAUGUACAUCGGGCAGCUCCUCUUCAUAAAGAAUUACUGCAGAGCCAAUGGACACAGAAAACUUGCCCCUACAGACCUGCCUCAUCCCAGCCCUCUUCUUCCAGGAACAGUACUCCAAAGCGACCCUGCCAUGGCUGCUGGAAACUGCUCUGGUCUGCUUCCAACAGGGGGCAAAGCCAUCAUCUGCGCUUCUUUUUGCAAGUUGCUUUGUUGCUUUCCCAUUCUGACUCAACUCCGCAUUUGAUCCUCCCAGAAUCAAGCAUUUUCUAAUUCAUCUCUGCACGUACCUCUCGAGAAACCACAGCAGAUAUCUGAACUUCACACUUCCCUCAGCUCUACUUCCCUUCCCCAUGAGAGCUGCCAGAAUUUUUCCCCAGGAAAACAACUGCCUUACGGCUCGUCCUCUGUUCUGUCCCAGUGGGGCUGGCACCUGUAUCCUCCUGCGGCUGGCACACCAUCAGGGCACACCUGCUGAAUGCUGCGCUUGCUCAUUGACAGCAGUUUCUGGUAUGGGAAGGGUUUCACUGGAAAAUACCUUCAUGUUCAACACUAUGACAGUUAUUACUUAUUUACAACUUUUAAAGAAAAAGUUGUCUACUAUAUUUAUAAUCCAAAUGCUAUGGAUUUAAGAAAUGGCAAGUAUUUGCUCAGUAUUGAGAAGUUGAGAAGUUCUUGCCAUUUCUCUCACGUUUUACAUUAAUCAGAAUCAACGUUACUCAAGUUCAGCUGAAAAGCUUAUCGGCGGGAUCUUGAUGAGUUCUAGAUGCUCUUAGUGAGCCACGUGCCAGCCAAACUGAGUAGUGCAUGCUGGACCUCUUCUGAAGUCAACCCUCUGGCUCGUACCGACACUGCUGCGCUCCCUGUAAUUCAAGCCCCUCCUGUCUCAGUUUCUCCUACGGCAUCUCAGCACCGAUGUGGGUUUCCGUUCUCACACCUUCACUCUUACAGAUUUCCAAAUCUCACAUAUUUUUGCCACUUGCAGUAUUUCUUUCUCGUUUCUCCAAAGGACAUCACCAUUUCCUUUCACAAGACUACGAUAUCAGGCUACUUGUUUUAGUGGAGGAAUUCAACCUGUGAUUUUCAACUGGUAGGUAUUACCUGAUGUUAAAAAAAAACAAAAACAAAAAACUGUGAGCUUCCAGGUGAUAAAGACCUGCCAGAGCUGAGUGGCAAUUGGGGAUGUUGCCAUUCCAAGGGUCAGACUGCAACACAGAAUGACUUCCCUGCGUAAGAGAGCGAGCAGAAGAACGAAGUUAACUCUGGGAAUUAAAAAUCCCCCUGGGAGACAGGCGCUACGAGACUGGUCUGUGGCCGCACUGCGCUGAUGUGGUUAAACAGAACAGGCGGCCAAAUCUCUCUGCGAUUGUUGUGGUUAGUUCCUCCCUUCCCCCAAGCAGAUGCAGUGCCUGACUCCUCUGAGGUAGUGGAUGAAGUACUGGCGCAGCCUCAUCAUUCAGCACAGUCAAGGGAGAACAAGAGCCCAGUGUCAGAGCACUUGCCAACCUGUUGUGGGCGAAGUCACAAGACGAGCUCUCUAUUGAAUUCCAGCAGAAGCAGAAGAAAGAUGCCCAAGGGAUCCUGAAGCUACAGCUGGACAGUGAUGAAAGGCCGAUUCAGCUGAUGAGAAGUCUCGGCUGCACACAGAGCCCCCAAAAGGAGGUCAGAAUUUGAAAACCAGAAUUUUCAUUCAUCCCCCUCACACACACGCUCCCCAGAUCACCUGCUUUUCCUAACUUACUCUCAGCUUAUAGGGAAUAAAAUCUACUUUCUCCACAACAGUCCUCAGGAGUUACCACAAGUUUAUAGUGCCACCUACUGACACUUAGCACCCGAGCUCUUCUGUCAAUCCAGAGCAACUCAGGUUUUCCAUGAAGUAAUUUCCUCUCUAUUUCCUUGUAUUUAUCAACUGUUCUGACGGCUGAAUGCAAGUCUUCUAAAUAUUUGAUUAUUUUAACCAG